This 418-nucleotide unclassified non-coding RNA is filed under the name soil metagenome. RNAcentral's name for it is "partial contains 5.8S ribosomal RNA, internal transcribed spacer 2, and large subunit ribosomal RNA". The stretch from base 1 to 120 matches the Rfam family "5.8S ribosomal RNA", at positions 35 to 154 of the family's 154-position model. The record is from RNAcentral.
GAUGAAGAACGUAGCGAAAUGCGAUAAGUAAUGUGAAUUGCAGAAUUCAGUGAAUCAUCGAAUCUUUGAACGCAUCUUGCGCUCCUUGGUAUUCCUUGGAGCAUGCCUGUUUGAGUAUCAUGAGCAAAUCUCAAAGUCAAUUCCUUUUGUUGAUUCAAUUGGUUUUGCUUUGGACUUGGAGGCCUUGCAGAUUUCACAGUCUGCUCCUCUUAAAUGCAUUAGCUGGAUCUCAGUAAUUGUGCUUGGUUCCACUCGGCGUGAUAAGUAUCACUCGCUGAGGACACUGUUAAAAAGGUGGCCAGGAAAAUACUGAUUGAACCGCUUCUAACGGUCUAUUAAGUUAGACAAUUACCCUUAAGUUUGAUCUCAAAUCAGGUAGGACUACCCGCUGAACUUAAGCAUAUCAAUAAGCGGAGGA